This 630-nucleotide ribosomal RNA is filed under the name uncultured bacterium. Its description in RNAcentral is "bacterial SSU rRNA". It matches the Rfam family "Bacterial small subunit ribosomal RNA", at positions 202 to 831 of the family's 1533-position model. The record is from RNAcentral.
AAAGGAGUGAUCCGGCAGAGGAUGGACAUGCGGCGCAUUAGCUAGUCGGCGGGGUAACGGCCCACCGAGGCUACGAUGCGUAGGGGUUCUGAGAGGAAGGUCCCCCACACUGGUACUGAGACACGGACCAGACUCCUACGGGAGGCAGCAGUGAGGAAUAUUGGUCAAUGGGCGGAAGCCUGAACCAGCCAAGUCGCGUGAGGGAAGACGGUCCUAUGGAUUGUAAACCUCUUUUGCAGGGGAGCAAGGCGCGGUACGUGUACCGCGAAGGAGAGUACCCUGAGAAAAAGCAUCGGCUAACUCCGUGCCAGCAGCCGCGGUAAUACGGAGGAUGCGAGCGUUAUCCGGAUUUAUUGGGUUUAAAGGGUGCGCAGGCGGACUGUUAAGUCAGCGGUAAAAUGUCGGUGCUCAACACCGGCCGGCCGUUGAAACUGGCAGCCUUGAGUGAGCGAGAAGUAUGCGGAAUGCGUGGUGUAGCGGUGAAAUGCAUAGAUAUCACGCAGAACUCCGAUUGCGAAGGCAGCAUACCGGCGCUCAACUGACGCUCAGGCACGAAAGCGUGGGUAUCGAACAGGCUUAGAUACCCUGGUAGUCCACGCAGUAAACGAUGAAUGCUCACUGUCCGGGCCG